Molecule: unclassified non-coding RNA, 413 nt
Filed under: uncultured fungus
Lineage: Eukaryota; Fungi
Description: partial contains small subunit ribosomal RNA, internal transcribed spacer 1, and 5.8S ribosomal RNA
Rfam family: Eukaryotic small subunit ribosomal RNA (bases 1-73)
Source: RNAcentral
UCAAACUUGGUCAUUUAGAGGAAGUAAAAGUCGUAACAAGGUAACCGUAGGUGAACCUGCGGUUGGAUCAUUACUGAAUGCAACCUAGGGGCUUGGGGUUUUGGCGGGCCUGGCUGCAGAUUGGGAGCUGAUUACCGGCUCCUGGUUAUGCGGCUGGCGCUCACCCCCCGGCUUCUGCACUCCAUGUGAACCGAGCUGUGCCUUUGCUCUGGCGUGCUGCUGCUGCCUUUUGGGUCUUGGCCUUUGUGGCUGGGGCUCUCUUGCGGCUGUGAGCGGCAGGGCAAAACCUGUUCAAAACCCCUUUAUUCGUGAUUACCAGCCUGAAUUGUGCUGCAGCAAUGCAGAUAACCACAAAUAUCAAAACAACUUUUGGCAACGGAUCUCUUGGCUCUCGCAUCGAUGAAGAACGCAGC